Vespa crabro (European hornet) is the source of this 638-nucleotide long non-coding RNA. RefSeq lists it as uncharacterized. The transcript has 3 exons. Lineage: Eukaryota; Metazoa; Arthropoda; Insecta; Hymenoptera; Vespidae. The record is from RefSeq and is a predicted model, not a curated record.
UAUGUCAUUAUAUAUAUAUAUAUAUAUAUAUCUCUUUCUCUCUCACUCGUUCGCUCGCUCACUCGCUCCUUAUCUUUCUUCCUAUAUAUAUAUAUAUAUAUAUAUAUAACGUAGUUUCUGCUUUUACUAUGUAAUAAUCAGUUAUCACGCCAGAGGGCGCAAAUCUAUGAAAAUUAUCCAAUAGUUUCUCCAAUCGUAAAAUAACGCUUAAAGAAUGAUUUAAUAUUUUAUUGGUCGAAUCGUAAUAUAUAAUUUCUUCGUGAAAUUUUCUAUUCUAUAUACUAUACAAUAUUAUAUCGAAUAGGUUAAUAUAUUCGAAGUAUAAACGUAAAAUACAUUUAUGAUCUUGUCAAAAGUGAUAUUAAAUGACGAUUGGAAGAAGAAUUAUUAUGAAAAAAUGGAUAAAAAAAGUCGUAGGGUAAUGUCAAGUCUAAAUUUGGACCACCUGCGAAAUAAUAUCGGGAUGGCUUAGAUAUAUCAUGAAAGUUUACAAAACUGGUAAUGUCGAUUUGAAGCAGAUAAUACGGAAUAUAAUAUAUCAUAUUUUAUAGAGGUUAUUAAUCCUGAACAUUUAAUCCAACCAUUAAGAAUUUGACCUGUUAUUACGUGCUGAGGUAAUCUAUCAAUUAAAAUUUUUA